This 202-nucleotide long non-coding RNA is filed under the name Hordeum vulgare. Its description in RNAcentral is "long non-coding RNA (HVUL_LNC006762)". Lineage: Eukaryota; Viridiplantae; Streptophyta; Magnoliopsida; Poales; Poaceae. The record is from RNAcentral.
UUUGGGUCUAUUAUGUUGUUCUAUCAAGUUCAUGGUGUUCCCUUGUUCUACUUACUUGUUUGUUGUGAAUAUUGUCUAAUUCUCUCUUCUUAUCGAAUUUUUUGUCCCAUUUUCCUAUCGAAGUGCUGUCGAAAUUUUUCGUGAAUUCUUGCUUCUUUCUCAUAUCAUUCCUCAUCUCUUUGCUACCUUCAAGGAUCGUUGG